AACUGAUACUACCUGCGGGAACCUGCGGAAGGAUCAUUACCGAGUUCUCGCCCCUCGCGGGGUAGACCUCCCACCCACUGUGAUCACUACCGUCGUUGCUUUGGCGGGCCGCUGGGCCCAGCCCACCGCCGGCUCCGGCUGGCGCGUGCCCGCCAGAGGCCCUACAAACGCUGGAUAUCAGUGCCGUCUGAGUACACAUGUUAAUCGUUAAAACUUUCAACAACGGAUCUCUAGAUCGGA
RNAcentral lists this unclassified non-coding RNA (240 nucleotides) under soil metagenome. Its description in RNAcentral is "partial contains 5.8S ribosomal RNA, internal transcribed spacer 2, and large subunit ribosomal RNA". The record is from RNAcentral.